CAGUAAAGUCACCUGACCCCUUUGAGCCUCUCUUCUACCUUUAACAAGCUAAAGACCAGAUAAUAACCCUAGCUAACUGCUAGGUUGUUCAACUGACUUCAUUGACAAAGCAUCGAUUUUUUGUUUUUGUGUUUUGUGUUUUGGUUUUUCGAGACAGGGUUUCUUUGUGUAACCCUGGUUGUCCUGGAACUUUCUUGGUAGACCAGGCUGCCUUGAACUCACAGAGAUCCUCCUGCCUCUGCCAUCUGAGUGCUGGGACUAAAGGAUUUGUCUGUAGCUUCGGAGCCUGUCCUGGAAAUUGCUCUGUAGAUCAGCCUGGUCUCGAACACAGAGAUCCAACUGCCCCUGCUUCUGGAGUACUGGAAUUAAAGAUGUGUGCCACUAUCGCCUGCCUGGCUUUCAACUGUCUUGAAAGCUCUGUUUCUCUGAAUUUCUUAAAUUUAUUUCUGUGCGCGCAGAAGUUAGUUCCUCUUUCGGCCAUGUGCGUUCUAGGGUUUGAACUCGGGUCAAGUUUGGCGACAAGCCCCUUUACCUGCUGAGCUGUCUUGCUCACUCAGUGCCUGUGUCUGCGUUCCCCCACGGCUGGCCGACUCUCCUUCUGGCAGUCCACCUCGCCCUCUAGUGGCCUCAGAGGGAACCGUAACACCGGGAUCUAUGGACGUUGUAACCUGUGUGAACCAAGUCUGGC
This 688-nucleotide long non-coding RNA is filed under the name Cricetulus griseus (Chinese hamster). Its description in RNAcentral is "lncRNA (ENSCGRG00015036037.1)". The record is from RNAcentral. Lineage: Eukaryota; Metazoa; Chordata; Mammalia; Rodentia; Cricetidae.